Molecule: long non-coding RNA, 384 nt
Organism: Erinaceus europaeus (western European hedgehog)
Lineage: Eukaryota; Metazoa; Chordata; Mammalia; Eulipotyphla; Erinaceidae
Exons: 3
Source: RefSeq, a predicted model, not a curated record
GGAACGGUAACCUCCAGGUACCAGGGAAAGCUGUGUGUUCUUCGAGCAGCGGCGGCAGCCACCCCCUUGUCUUUACCGGAAGUGAGGUGCUUGUCUAUGAGGAGAACAGUGAGCAGCUCAUUUCCAGGGUCCCAGGACAGCAGCAGUGGAGGAAGCACAUGACACAGCAGAAGGUGUCUGCAAAACACUCGCGCAUAGCUGUGUCUUAUUUCACCAUCAAGCACCAGGACCCCAAAGUCCUCCCUCACCUAGUAAAGGCCAUAUAUGAACAUCAUAUGGCCAACAUUAUACUUAACGGUGAAAAGCGUAAAGAAUUUCCCUUUAAAUCUGGAACAAAACAAGGAUGCCCACUGUCGCCAUUGCUGUUCAACAUUGUUCUGGAAU